GAUAUACAUAGAAGCAGAAUAUUGUA
Molecule: non-coding RNA, 26 nt
Filed under: Cricetulus griseus (Chinese hamster)
Lineage: Eukaryota; Metazoa; Chordata; Mammalia; Rodentia; Cricetidae
Source: RNAcentral